AGUGGGGAAUAUUGGACAAUGGGCGAAAGCCUGAUCCAGCAAUGCCGCGUGAGUGAUGAAGGCCUUAGGGUUGUAAAGCUCUUUUACCCGGGAUGAUAAUGACAGUACCGGGAGAAUAAGCCCCGGCUAACUCCGUGCCAGCAGCCGCGGUAAUACGGAGGGGGCUAGCGUUGUUCGGAAUUACUGGGCGUAAAGCGCGCGUAGGCGGCUUUGUAAGUCAGAGGUGAAAUCCCGGGGCUCAACUCCGGAACUGCCUUUGAAACUGCAUCGCUUGAAUCCGGGAGAGGUGAGUGGAAUUCCGAGUGUAGAGGUGAAAUUCGUAGAUAUUCGGAAGAACACCAGUGGCGAAGGCGGCUCACUGGACCGGUAUUGACGCUGAGGUGCGAAAGCGUGGGGAGCAAA
RNAcentral lists this ribosomal RNA (402 nucleotides) under uncultured Sphingomonadales bacterium. Its description in RNAcentral is "bacterial SSU rRNA". It matches the Rfam family "Bacterial small subunit ribosomal RNA", at positions 353 to 772 of the family's 1533-position model. The record is from RNAcentral. Lineage: Bacteria; Pseudomonadati; Pseudomonadota; Alphaproteobacteria; Sphingomonadales.